UGUUGGUUGUCCCUACCUUUGAGACAUGCUCAAUUUGUUAAAUACUAAUCACACUACUUCAUCUCCACUUGAGUAGAUCUCUAUAAAUGCUGUCAUGCUACCUUUGUCUAUUUUCUAGCAAGUGUUGGUUUGGAAGUACUCGACAUACUUCCAUUGGCAUUUAAAUUGAGCAUGGUGCUUAGGUUAAAUAGCCUUCCUUAAUCUGAUUAGACAUGGAGUCUAGUUUGGUUAUUGAACUAAAAACUGCUUGAGUAGAUAUUGGUAUAUUUUGUCGGACUAACCCCUGCAGGAAAACUUUCAAUAUCAACCUGGGAAGUCCUGAGAUAAACUCACAUUGGAGACAAGGAGAGGGACACAUGAAGUUUAACAAUUUACACAAGGAAGACAUAGGUCAUAAGAGAUGAUCCAUGGAAGGUGCCACACACACGAUACACAACCACUACGAAUGGAAAGCUUCCACAAGGUGAUACUAUACCAUCACUCUUCAAUUAAGGUAACAUCUUAAGAUAUCUGACUAUCACUUUUAUAAGCUUCUCCUUGGUUCUGACAUUGACAUAAAUAAAGAGACAAACAUGUAUGAUUUAUAACUCUAAAUUAACCAACCCAACUGAUUCAACAUGUUUAGUCCCUUAAUCUAUGAUCCCACACUCCUAAUCAUAUGAGCUAAAAUGUUACACAUUCAAUCAUUGAGAGAUAUAAAGAAAAUGACAUAUACAUAGAUAGAUUAUCUUUCCAUAAGGUUGAGCGAUCUGAUCUGACAAAUAUUAUAAGUGCUACACUCAUGAACUUUUCAUCCAUCAAAUUUGUCUUGCUCACUAUGCUUAAGGUUGGAGACGAACAAAUACACUUUAGGUUCUGUUGGUGUUUUCCACCAACAGGACCCAUGCACUUGAUCUCUGCCUUGUCUCUAUGAGCAGGUACACUUCGAGCAAAACACGGAGGAGUUUUAUAACUCUCAGACUCUACCAAGUGAAGGACCUGGAUCUACGAGCACAAACACACUGAGCAGGAUACUGCCAAUGCCGCACUUCUAACUGCUGGGCAAACGAAGAGGUGCAGACGUCAAGGUCCGCGCCUGAAUCAAAUGACGCACCUGAAAAAUGAACACGGUGAGAAGUCUUGUUAAGAAGACUUAAAACAUUGAACCCUCGCCGAAAGGUAAGAUCAGUAGUUAUCCAUAUUUAUCAUUUCUGCAUUCCCUUUUCCCUUUAAUUAUUUACUUUCCUUAAAUAGAUUAUUAGUUAAUCAUGCUAUCUUGAAAAGAAAAUAAAAAUGUUAAAAAAAUACUAAGCCCCAUGUGAGUAUAUGAGUGGCAUAAAACCCAUAAGUACCUUCACUGUGGUGGCAUAAAAAUAAAAUAAAUAUUUCUUUUCUGCUUUAUAAAAUAAAAAUAUAAAAAUAGGGAGUAAUAUUUAUUGAGGAAGCUCAAUAUGAUGAAGGCUAGAUAUUUAUGUUAACACUUAAUUAGUUCCACAAGCUUUGUUGUCUAUUUGAGCUCCACAAAAUUUAAGAAUCAAGAAGACUAGCAGACGGAGGACAUUCUAAUCGCUGUCAGAAUGCUGCUGACGUUCAAAUACACCUCUGCCACCUGCUAGCUACAUCAAGAGAAAUUACGUCAAAAUUCAGCUUGGGGGAGAGCACCCCCAUUUAUCUCGCUAAAUAUUUCUACCUAUCUUUAUAAUUAUAUUAUGUUAGAAUAUUAAAAUACAUAAGCUAUGAAAAACCAAAUAAAGAUUUUGUGCUUAUAUAUAUCUUUUGCUUAGUGUGUUUAAUAAAUAAAUAAAGUGGCUAUGCUAAUCUGAAUCUUAAUAAUAAAACUCUAGCAUGGAUAUGAUGAAUAGUUGCUCUGCCUAAUUUGCACAUUUGAAGUUCUCUCUCAAGUUUAGACAUAACUGUUAUAAUUUAAAGCUUGCUCUAGAUCUAAACUUGUGGGAUGAAAACUUGAUCUGAAAUCUAAGUUGUUAACAGAUAUGAUAUGGGAAGGUUGAGCUGCUGUUUAUCUGUUCCUAGAGAUGCUAGAAUUCUGGAGAAUUUUAUCUUUGAAAAAUCUUUAAAAUAUUGCAUGAUGAGUUCCUGUAUGAUGAGAGUUUAAAUUCCUACCACAGCCAUAUAUACAUGCUUGCUAGACUUUGAGCCACACAUUUAUUAUUUACUGCUUAUGAGCAUUGAGUGUGGUUAAGCUUUGUAGACCCUUAGGAGCUUGUCAUGUGGUUAAAUCAAGAUUCACUUGCACGUUCACUCAUAUAUGCUACUUCUACUCUGGAAGUACCAUCCACAUAUAUCCAUCCAUGUCCAUCUCCAGAACCACCCAAAAAUAUUCUACUCCUAAUCCGUUCUGUUUUCCCUUGUGAAAUAAAUGCUCAAGUUAUCUUGCUACUACCACUUGCUAUAUUAUCUCAAGAGAUGAGUGCUCUAAAAAAAAGAAGAAAAUAGAAGAAAAGAAAAGAAAAAUAAUAAUAAUAAACGAGGAAAUAAAAAGGGGCAAGUGCCCGGAACCUCGAAAGAAAGAAAAAGUGAGACGAGAGGUAAAAAUGGACAAGUGUCCGACAGUAGAAUUAGGGGUACAAGAUACCCACCUGAGAGGAAAGAAAAAGAAGAGCAUCUCAUUCUCCUCAUAAAGUUUCAAAAAGCAAGGAAGGUAUGUAUCCCCUCAAAAGAGCAAAAGUAGAAUUAGACUUUCACCAUUGUUAUCACCAUCAUCACCAUACACCAUUCAUUCGCCACACAUGCACAUCUUGAUUUGGCUUAUUAAUUUGUUUCUUUGGCAUGGUUUGACUAUACAAUAAAUGUCUUGUAAGUAUGUAUACUUUAUCUCCCACCUAUGAGCUCCAGAUAUUAAAGCCUUAUUAGAGUAGGGUGAGAGAGAAGGCAAUGUCACUAUGCCUUAUACCACAAAUACCACAUAUCUUGAGAGAAGGCAUAUACCAUCACUGCCUUGGUAAGGAUCCAGAAAUACCACAAAAGAGAGAUUUAGAGAGUCAUACAAGGAAUCUCUGAGUUUUAUUUGAAAAUCUGCAAAAACUCCAGAGCUAUAGCUGAUCAAGAAUAAGAGACAUGACACUUGGCUAGACUGUUCUAUCUUUUAACUACUCAAGACAGAAGUGACGGUUGCAAGUCCCAUGGUGAAAGGUAAAGUAAGUAAGUUUUAGUUCUUGACAGUUUACUCUAACUCAGAGAUGAGAUCUUAUUUAAAAGCAUGUGUACCGUCAAAUUUUUAAGAUAUUGCAACAACUUCUGAUCCAUUGCUGAGUCUAUCCUUGCUUAGGGACGAGCAAGAGGUAAGCUUGGGGGAGUUUGUUGACGGUCCUUAAGUAUCAAAUUUAAUUAUCAAAUAAACAAAGAAAAGGAUCAAAAUGAAAUCAACAUCUAGACUUAGGGUUUUAUCUGACAGAAUUCCACGAGUUUUGGUGUUUGUCUAUUUCUGCAGGGGGUUAUCAGGAAAUAUGAAAGAAAGGCCCACACGUCGGGUUUACAUAGAGAUAUUAACAUGCCGCGCAAUUUUCUACCAUCUAGAAGACUCCAGAAGCCACGGGAACGAACGGGAGGCCGAUCGGGCCCGGGGGCAGGGCGCCCGCCCAAGUCCCUUGGGUGCCCGCCCAGCUACAGUAACCAAUCAGCUUCAACUUCGCGGAUCAUGCUCCACCGACCUAAUACUUCAAGGAAAACCACACGAUCAAUGUCGGUUUGAUCCGACGGCCCAGAUUCUUCUGAAAAGACUAUAUAACUAGACCCCCUGGCCCCUGGAGGAGGCACCCCUUGAUAAUUAUUCAUUAUUCAUAGACAGAGCAAAAGCUAGGGUUUAGAGAUGAGAGCUCUCCUCUCUUCUCUAAACUAGAGUAGAUCUAGAUAGUAGCUAGAUGGAGAGCGAAGGAGGAUUAGAGGAGAGGCCGGUCUGUCGGUUCUUCCUCCGGUUGUACUUCGUCAUGAUCAAGCUCUAAUCAAGCUUGCUCAUGGGAUGACUCUGGUAAUCUACUUCUAAUUCAUUAUGCAAUUACUAAUUAUGUAUGUUCUUGUUCACAACUCUUUUGAGUACUUUAAUCUAUAGGACGCUAUAGGUGAGAGUUGUAGUAUAGGUGUAAGCGAGGUGCUUAGAUCUAGAUUAAUUGUGGAUAUCCCCUGUCUAGCUGGAUCGUGUGGUAGGCCGCGUAGGUGACAGUUACGUUGGUCCUCUGUAGUCCACCUCUCGUUAGCAGGACGGGUAGGGUUUAUCGGCCUAUGGAUAAGCAUCCUUUGUGGUGUAAUCUUAUCACGUGGUUCGUCCCAGACAUAGACAUACCCCUUUGAAGUAGAGAAACCAUAGUUAUUCUCUCUAUUCUGCUACCAUCGCCCAUAUACUAGAAUUGCUCUACUCUCUAUUCACAUAUUAUCACGCACUGUUAUCUUACCUUUAAUAUUGUUCUUAUUUGAUUCUACCAUCUUUCCUAUUUACACUUAUUUACUUAUCUUGGUUAAGUUAGAGCGUAGAUCAGUUCUCCCGUUUCCCUGUGGAUACGAUAAAACCUUUAACCGGGUAAAAGCUUCAACGGUAUCCGUGCGCUUGCGGAUUAUCUGUGUGCGUAUAAAUACCAUAGUACACUCUAGUGCCAUGCUGGGGAUGACAACCUAGUAUUCAAGUGGUGUUAGCAAGUGUCAACAAGGAUUUUUGGCGCCGUUGCCGGGGAAACGGUUGCUGAGUUGACUACGAACUAGCUUAAUCAUUUUCUAAAAAAAAUAUAAAUAAAAAAAAUAUAUAUAUUUCCUUUUAUCCUUUGCCUCAUCUCUGCUAAUCUUUCUUCUUCUCUAAUCCUUGAUCUGUGGUCUAUCAUGAAUUCAAACAUGUCUAUCUAUGAAUUUCAUAGACCUACGGGCACACAUCUCGAACCACCAAAAUCUUCAAAGCCUAUCAUAGCAUCUAGUUUUGAGAUAGACCCCGAAUACAUAGAACUUGUUCAAAAACAACCUUUCUCAGGAGAAGGUGAGGAAAACCCAUACACACAACUAAGAGAGUUUUAUAGAGUCUGUGACCUCCUUCGCAUAAAAGGCAUGUCCGAUGAGACCCUUAAAUGGAAGCUUUUUCCGUUCUCUUUAAUGGGAAAAGCUAGACAUUGGUAUAAACUCAAAGUAGGGAGUGUUCAUGGAGAUUGGAAGGAGUUACAUAGUAGUUUUCUUUCUAAAUAUUUUCCAAUCUCCAAAGUGGUGGAACUUCGGCGUGAGAUUAUUUCUUUUAGACAAUUGGAAGAAGAAUCUCUUAGGAAAUCAUGGGACCGCUUUAUUAACCUUACUCUCACUGGCCCAAAGCUUUCUAUUCCAGAAGAAGUUCUUCUAAUUCACUUUUUUGAGGGCCUUAGUGGGGAAAAUAAGCAAACCUUGAAUACAGCCUCUAGAGGAUCCUUCUAUCACCUACCUGCUAGUGAAGCUUGGAAUUUGAUUGAUUUAUUAAGCGGAAAGUCUCCUAGCUUUAAUAUCCCUGAGAAAGAGACAGAACCAGUUCCUAGACAAGAAGAAGAAGUUUCGAGAGCCAGAUCAUAACCACUUCAAUUCCAAACUUUAGCUAUCAUUCCUAAACCAUCAAUACCCCAAAAUUCUCCAAGGGAGGAAGGAAUUCUGACCUUAAAUCUUUCAGAUGCUGAUGGUUUAGACUUCUGGUUCCAUAAGAGACCUUCAAGCAGGGAUAAUUCAAAUCCUCGCAAUAAUGGUUCUCUUAGAGAAUGUCCUGGUUCCUGUUAUGAAGAAGUCGAGGAUGACAUAUCAAGUGAAGGAGAGCUAAGCCAUAUUGAAAAUUCUAACACCUCCCCUUUCAUGAUCACAAGUUCUAAAUGGCUAGAAUGUGUAGAAUGGAUGCAUAAGGAAGAAGCCUUAAUGGAUUCUGACUUGGGCUCAAUUUCAAAUGGUGAGUUCUUGACUCCCUUUGAAGAUGGGAUUCAUCAAACUAUAGAAGAGGACAUAAGUGAGACGAAUCCAAGAGGAACUCUGAACAUUCAGAUUAGAGACGAAGAUAACAUUAAUGAGCAUGGAAUUUAUUUCAUAGCCACUUUGUUUACUCCAUGCUCAUAUGCAACAUCUUCCCAAUCUAUUGGUCUCUCCAACAUCACCACAUUUGAGAUCUCCAACCCCCUCUUCCUUUCUAUUUAUAAAAACUUUAAAAGGGCGGUUGUCGAUGUAUAUGUCUAUAAUAAAUAUUGCAGAUCUCGUUGAGUUAAUCUUGAUUUAGGUCAGCGUUGGAAGGGAAACCACUUCGCCGACAUAAAUUGAUGGUUUCCCAAGGACAAGCUUGGUGUCCUAAAAUAAGCACUGAUGAGAUCGUAACAUGAGUUUUUAAUUAUUUGCAACAUUACCUUGUGUAUUGAGCAUAUAAGGAUAAUUGUAAAAAUAUUCCUUUGGGUAUUCUUGUCACUAACCUUUCUAGGAUUGGAGCAAGAAGAUCGGAUGAAUGACAAGCACAAGGUAUGUCCAACCGAUCAUCAUACAACAUUGAAUUAAAUUCAUCCAAACUUGAAUUUUGCAAAAUUCAAGCUUGGGGGAGUACUUUACAUAAAAACAUCCUUUGCUAUGUUGCUAUGUUGGUUGUCCCUACCUUUGAGACAUGCUCAAUUUGUUAAAUACUAAUCACACUACUUCAUCUCCACUUGAGUAGAUCUCUAUAAAUGCUGUCAUGCUACCUUUGUCUAUUUUCUAGCAAGUGUUGGUUUGGAAGUACUCGACAUACUUCCAUUGGCAUUUAAAUUGAGCAUGGUGCUUAGGUUAAAUAGCCUUCCUUAAUCUGAUUAGACAUGGAGUCUAGUUUGGUUAUUGAACUAAAAACUGCUUGAGUAGAUAUUGGUAUAUUUUGUCGGACUAACCCCUGCAGGAAAACUUUCAAUAUCAACCUGGGAAGUCCUGAGAUAAACUCACAUUGGAGACAAGGAGAGGGACACAUGAAGUUUAACAAUUUACACAAGGAAGACAUAGGUCAUAAGAGAUGAUCCAUGGAAGGUGCCACACACACGAUACACAACCACUACGAAUGGAAAGCUUCCACAAGGUGAUACUAUACCAUCACUCUUCAAUUAAGGUAACAUCUUAAGAUAUCUGACUAUCACUUUUAUAAGCUUCUCCUUGGUUCUGACAUUGACAUAAAUAAAGAGACAAACAUGUAUGAUUUAUAACUCUAAAUUAACCAACCCAACUGAUUCAGCAUGUUUAGUCCCUUAAUCUAUGAUCCCACACUCCUAAUCAUAUGAGCUAAAAUGUUACACAUUCAAUCAUUGAGAGAUAUAAAGAAAAUGACAUAUACAUAGAUAGAUUAUCUUUCCAUAAGGUUGAGCGAUCUGAUCUGACAAAUAUUAUAAGUGCUACACUCAUGAACUUUUCAUCCAUCAAAUUUGUCUUGCUCACUAUGCUUAAGGUUGGAGACGAACAAAUACACUUUAGGUUCUGUUGGUGUUUUCCACCAACAGGACCCAUGCACUUGAUCUCUGCCUUGUCUCUAUGAGCAGGUACACUUCGAGCAAAACACGGAGGAGUUUUAUAACUCUCAGACUCUACCAAGUGAAGGACCUGGAUCUACGAGCACAAACACACUGAGCAGGAUACUGCCAAUGCCGCACUUCUAACUGCUGGGCAAACGAAGAGGUGCAGACGUCAAGGUCCGCGCCUGAAUCAAAUGACGCACCUGAAAAAUGAACACGGUGAGAAGUCUUGUUAAGAAGACUUAAAACAUUGAACCCUCGCCGAAAGGUAAGAUCAGUAGUUAUCCAUAUUUAUCAUUUCUGCAUUCCCUUUUCCCUUUAAUUAUUUACUUUCCUUAAAUAGAUUAUUAGUUAAUCAUGCUAUCUUGAAAAGAAAAUAAAAAUGUUAAAAAAAUACUAAGCCCCAUGUGAGUAUAUGAGUGGCAUAAAACCCAUAAGUACCUUCACUGUGGUGGCAUAAAAAUAAAAUAAAUAUUUCUUUUCUGCUUUAUAAAAUAAAAAUAUAAAAAUAGGGAGUAAUAUUUAUUGAGGAAGCUCAAUAUGAUGAAGGCUAGAUAUUUAUGUUAACACUUAAUUAGUUCCACAAGCUUUGUUGUCUAUUUGAGCUCCACAAAAUUUAAGAAUCAAGAAGACUAGCAGACGGAGGACAUUCUAAUCGCUGUCAGAAUGCUGCUGACGUUCAAAUACACCUCUGCCACCUGCUAGCUACAUCAAGAGAAAUUACGUCAAAAUUCAGCUUGGGGGAGAGCACCCCCAUUUAUCUCGCUAAAUAUUUCUACCUAUCUUUAUAAUUAUAUUAUGUUAGAAUAUUAAAAUACAUAAGCUAUGAAAAACCAAAUAAAGAUUUUGUGCUUAUAUAUAUCUUUUGCUUAGUGUGUUUAAUAAAUAAAUAAAGUGGCUAUGCUAAUCUGAAUCUUAAUAAUAAAACUCUAGCAUGGAUAUGAUGAAUAGUUGCUCUGCCUAAUUUGCACAUUUGAAGUUCUCUCUCAAGUUUAGACAUAACUGUUAUAAUUUAAAGCUUGCUCUAGAUCUAAACUUGUGGGAUGAAAACUUGAUCUGAAAUCUAAGUUGUUAACAGAUAUGAUAUGGGAAG
This 8520-nucleotide long non-coding RNA is filed under the name Sorghum bicolor (sorghum). Its description in RNAcentral is "long non-coding RNA (SBIC_LNC005331)". The record is from RNAcentral. Lineage: Eukaryota; Viridiplantae; Streptophyta; Magnoliopsida; Poales; Poaceae.